GACGAACGCUGGCGGCGUGCUUAACACAUGCAAGUCGAACGGAAAGGCCCUGCUUUUGUGGGGUGCUCGAGUGGCGAACGGGUGAGUAACACGUGAGUAACCUGCCCUUGACUUUGGGAUAACUUCAGGAAACUGGGGCUAAUACCGGAUAGGAGCUCCUGCUGCAUGGUGGGGGUUGGAAAGAUUCGGCGGUUGGGGAUGGACUCGCGGCUUAUCAGCUUGUUGGUGGGGUAGUGGCUUACCAAGGCUUUGACGGGUAGCCGGCCUGAGAGGGUGACCGGCCACAUUGGGACUGAGAUACGGCGCAGACUCCUACGGGAGGCAGCAGUGGGGAAUAUUGCACAAUGGGCGGAAGCCUGAUGCAGCAACGCCGCGUGCGGGAUGACGGCCUUCGAGUUGUAAACCGCUUUCGCCUGUGACGAAGCGUGAGUGACGGUAAUGGGUAAAGAAGCACCGGCUAACUACGUG
Molecule: ribosomal RNA, 468 nt
Filed under: uncultured bacterium
Lineage: Bacteria
Description: partial 16S ribosomal RNA
Rfam family: Bacterial small subunit ribosomal RNA
Source: RNAcentral